This 214-nucleotide long non-coding RNA is filed under the name Rattus norvegicus (Norway rat). RNAcentral's name for it is "long non-coding RNA NONRATT032701". The record is from RNAcentral. Lineage: Eukaryota; Metazoa; Chordata; Mammalia; Rodentia; Muridae.
GUCAAGAUCAACCUCUGAACUAUAGCAAGUGAAAAACUGAAGGCCUUAUACCUGUAGCUGACAAUCCUUUCUCAAAGUCUGCUGAUAGCCUACCCUCCAAUAUGAUGAGAUCAGAAUAUUCUUGCAGAGCUUCUAAACUAUAAAUUGAGAAAACAUGAGUAACUACCUUUAAGUUGAAGUCUACGUACGUCUGAAUAUUUUAGCAUAAAAUUAC